AACGCUAGCUACAGGCUUAACACAUGCAAGUCGAGGGGCAACAUGGUCUUAGCUUGCUAAGGCCGAUGGCGACCGGCGCACGGGUGAGUAACACGUAUCCAACCUGCCGUCUACUCUUGGACAGCCUUCUGAAAGGAAGAUUAAUACAAGAUGGCAUCAUGAGUCCGCAUGUUCACAUGAUUAAAGGUAUUCCGGUAGACGAUGGGGAUGCGUUCCAUUAGAUAGUAGGCGGGGUAACGGCCCACCUAGUCUUCGAUGGAUAGGGGUUCUGAGAGGAAGGUCCCCCACAUUGGAACUGAGACACGGUCCAAACUCCUACGGGAGGCAGCAGUGAGGAAUAUUGGUCAAUGGGCGAGAGCCUGAACCAGCCAAGUAGCGUGAAGGAUGACUGCCCUAUGGGUUGUAAACUUCUUUUAUAAAGGAAUAAAGUCGGGUAUGGAUACCCGUUUGCAUGUACUUUAUGAAUAAGGAUCGGCUAACUCCGUGCCAGCAGCCGCGGUAAUACGGAGGAUCCGAGCGUUAUCCGGAUUUAUUGGGUUUAAAGGGAGCGUAGAUGGAUGUUUAAGUCAGUUGUGAAAGUUUGCGGCUCAACCGUAAAAUUGCAGUUGAUACUGGAUAUCUUGAGUGCAGUUGAGGCAGGCGGAAUUCGUGGUGUAGCGGUGAAAUGCUUAGAUAUCACGAAGAACUCCGAUUG
Molecule: ribosomal RNA, 694 nt
Filed under: uncultured bacterium
Lineage: Bacteria
Description: bacterial SSU rRNA
Rfam family: Bacterial small subunit ribosomal RNA
Source: RNAcentral